Molecule: ribosomal RNA, 497 nt
Filed under: uncultured bacterium
Lineage: Bacteria
Description: partial 16S ribosomal RNA
Rfam family: Bacterial small subunit ribosomal RNA
Source: RNAcentral
GAUGAACGCUGGCGGCGUGUCUAAUCCAUGCAAGUCGAUCGAAUAGAUAAUGAUUUUGCACCUCUGACGCUUGCUGCUGAUGGAUCUGUAACACGUGGAUAACCUACCUGUAUGACUUGUAUCACUUCGGAAAAACGGUGCAGAUAAAACCUAAUAUCUUGAAUCUCUGGUAUCCAUCGUGCACUACGGUUAUACUGACCCUUAUAGAGAUACCUUCGCCGCAGUAGUUAGUUGGUAAUGUAACGGCCUACCAAGGCAACGAUGCGUAGCCGACCUGAGAGGGUGAUCGGCGACACUGGAACUGAGACACGGUCAAGAGUCAUACGGGAGGAGGCAGUAGGGAAUCUUCCGCAAUGGGCGAAAGCCUGACGGAGCAAUGCCGCGUGAGGGAUGAAGGUCUUCGGGUGGUAGAAGUCUGUUAUUAGGGAGGGACAAAUGUGGGAGUAACUAUGCACGUCUUGACGGUACUUAAUCAGAAAGCCACGGCUAACUACGUG